This is a long non-coding RNA of Papaver somniferum (opium poppy), 862 nucleotides long. RefSeq lists it as uncharacterized. The record is from RefSeq and is a predicted model, not a curated record. Lineage: Eukaryota; Viridiplantae; Streptophyta; Magnoliopsida; Ranunculales; Papaveraceae. The transcript is spliced from 2 exons.
UUCUCCCUUUUUCUUUCUCCCCUCUCUUAAUUUAUCUGUUGUUGCUACUGUCGUUUCCUCUUUAAUUUCCGCUUUAUAUUUUUUCCCUUUCUUUUUUGGUGGAAACCCAUUACGUAAAGCAUAAGGAUUUAAUUUACGAAUCAAGGAAACUAUUGUUUGCAGAGAUCUAAAAUCUUAGGUUUGAUUUCGAUGAAAGAAGGCAAAGCGAAUUUCAGUGAUUUACUGUUAUUGUUGCAAAAAUGAUUAGGUUUUUGAUGUCUUGAAGAAUUUAUGUUUCAAAUGAAAUCUGAAAUUAGGGUUCCGAUUCUUCUUUGGGUUUCAAUUUGAAUAGGGUCAUGACUAAUCGAUUCAACAAAGGUUUCAGUUGAGAUUCAGUAGGGUGCUUCAGUUAAGAUUCAUCAUCGUAUCGAUUUAAUUUGGGUUGAUGACAAAAUUGAUUCGAAAUGGGUUUCAAUUUGAGAUUCAAUAACGGUUUUAGUUCAUAUUUUAAUUCAAGUUCAUGACCGUUUGAUAUCAAAUUCUUAGAUUUUGCUAUUUUCAGGGAUGGUUCUGAUAAUGAAUUAAGGGUUUGAUUAUGGUGGUGUUGUUGGUUUGCACAGUGAGAAGAGUUAGAUGUUAGGUAUUGUUUGAUUUGAUAAUGGUGAUAGAGAAGGAGGUAAAGAUACUGUUGCGUCGGAGGUUGCUGUUUUUGGUUGUGAUGUUCAAGAAAUUGUAGCCGAGAAGGGAAAGGGGUGAAUCAGAGGAGACAUGAAUUUCGGCGAGAAGAAGAAGUGAGAAUUUUGUAAAUAUUAAGAAAUCUUAAGGGUAUGAUAGUAAACACAUUAAUAAUAACAUUUUAUAUAAAAUUUCUUAUAAUUAUUUA